AACGAACGCUGGCGGCAUGCCUAACACAUGCAAGUCGAACGAGACCUUCGGGCCUAGUGGCGCACGGGUGCGUAACGCGUGGGAACCUGCCCUUAGGUUCGGAAUAACUCCCCGAAAGGGGUGCUAAUACCGGAUAAUGUCUUCGGACCAAAGAUUUAUCGCCUUUGGAUGGGCCCGCGUUGGAUUAGCUAGUUGGUAGGGUAAAAGCCUACCAAGGCGACGAUCCAUAGCUGGUCUGAGAGGAUGAUCAGCCACACUGGGACUGAGACACGGCCCAGACUCCUACGGGAGGCAGCAGUGGGGAAUAUUGGACAAUGGGCGAAAGCCUGAUCCAGCAAUGCCGCGUGAGUGAUGAAGGCCUUAGGGUUGUAAAGCUCUUUUACCCGGGAUGAUAAUGACAGUACCGGGAGAAUAAGCUCCGGCUAACUCCGCG
RNAcentral lists this ribosomal RNA (433 nucleotides) under uncultured bacterium. RNAcentral describes it as "partial 16S ribosomal RNA". It matches the Rfam family "Bacterial small subunit ribosomal RNA", at positions 29 to 507 of the family's 1533-position model. The record is from RNAcentral.